This 659-nucleotide ribosomal RNA is filed under the name uncultured bacterium. Its description in RNAcentral is "partial 16S ribosomal RNA". It matches the Rfam family "Bacterial small subunit ribosomal RNA", at positions 1 to 692 of the family's 1533-position model. The record is from RNAcentral.
CCCUUAUAGUUUGAUCCUGGCUCAGGACGAACGCUGGCGGCACGCCUAACACAUGCAAGUCGAACGCCCCUUUCGGGGGGAGUGGCGGACGGGUGAGUAACGCGUGGGACCCUGCCCCGGGGGGGGGGACAACCCAAGGAAACCUGGGCUGAUACCGCAUAACCCCAGUGGCCGUAGAGGCCAUUGGGAAAAUAUUUAUCGCCACGGGAUGGGCCCGCGUCGGAUUAGGUAGUUGGGGGGGUAACCGCCCACCCAGCCUGCGAUCCGUAGCUGGUCUGAGAGGACCAUCCCCCACGCUGGGACUGAGACCCCGCCCACACUCCUACGGGAGGCAGCGGUGGGGAAUCUUGGACGAUGGGGGAAACCCUGAUCCAGCGAUGCCGCGUGAACAAAGAAGGCCUUAGGGUUGUAAAUCUCUCUCCCCCGCAAAAAUAAUGACGGUAGCGAAAAAAAAAACCCCCGGCUAACUCCGUGCCAGCAGCCGCGGUAAUACGGAGGGGGCUAGCGUUGUCCGGAAUUACUGGGCGUAAAGCGCGCGUAGGUGCUCCACCAAGUCGGGGGUGAAAGCCCAGGGCUCAACCCUGGAAUUGCCUCCGAGACUGAUGGACUCGAGUUCGGGAGAGGAGAGCGGAAUUCCCAGUGUAGAGGUGAAAUUCGUA